AGUGAACGCUGGCGGUAGGCCUAACACAUGCAAGUCGAACGGCAGCACAGUAAGAGCUUGCUCUUACGGGUGGCGAGUGGCGGACGGGUGAGGAAUACAUCGGAAUCUACUUUUUCGUGGGGGAUAACGUAGGGAAACUUACGCUAAUACCGCAUACGACUACGGGUGAAAGCAGGGGAUCUUCGGACCUUGCGCGAUUGAAUGAGCCGAUGUCGGAUUAGCUAGUUGGCGGGGUAAAGGCCCACCAAGGCGACGAUCCGUAGCUGGUCUGAGAGGAUGAUCAGCCACACUGGAACUGAGACACGGUCCAGACUCCUACGGGAGGCAGCAGUGGGGAAUAUUGGACAAUGGGCGCAAGCCUGAUCCAGCCAUACCGCGUGGGUGAAGAAGGCCUUCGGGUUGUAAAGCCCUUUUGUUGGGAAAGAAAAGCAGCAGGUUAAUACCCCGCUGUUCUGACGGUACCCAAAGAAUAAGCACCGGCUAACUUCGUG
This 491-nucleotide ribosomal RNA is filed under the name uncultured bacterium. RNAcentral's name for it is "partial 16S ribosomal RNA". It matches the Rfam family "Bacterial small subunit ribosomal RNA", at positions 29 to 507 of the family's 1533-position model. The record is from RNAcentral.